RNAcentral lists this ribosomal RNA (253 nucleotides) under uncultured bacterium. RNAcentral's name for it is "partial 16S ribosomal RNA". It matches the Rfam family "Bacterial small subunit ribosomal RNA", at positions 524 to 776 of the family's 1533-position model. The record is from RNAcentral.
UACGUAGGGGGCAAGCGUUGUCCGGAAUCAUUGGGCGUAAAGAGCGCGUAGGCGGCCCGAUAAGUCCGCCGUGAAAGUCCAGGGCUCAACCCUGGAAUGCCGGUGGAAACUGUCGGGCUGGAGUCCGGAAGAGGCGAGUGGAAUUCCUGGUGUAGCGGUGAAAUGCGCAGAUAUCAGGAGGAACACCGGUGGCGAAGGCGGGUCUCUGGGCAGUAACUGACGCUGAGGAGCGAAAGCGUGGGGAGCGAACAGG